Perca flavescens (yellow perch) is the source of this 1207-nucleotide long non-coding RNA. RefSeq lists it as uncharacterized. The transcript has 3 exons. The record is from RefSeq and is a predicted model, not a curated record. Lineage: Eukaryota; Metazoa; Chordata; Actinopteri; Perciformes; Percidae.
UGCACUGCUCAGCAACCGAGUACUGUCAAACACUGCGCUGUUGCCCUAGCGACGGCUAAUGGUUUCCAGGUGGGAAGGCUGGAGAUUCUCGAGGACUGACAUUUCUCAGCUAUUUAAAAUCCACUCAUCAUGUGGAUGAGCAUGCGGCUGAUUCCAAAAACAUAAAUUUGAUAAGUUUUUUUUUUUUUUCUUUUAAAAAGGAGGGAAACUAAGGAAGAGGUCAUCUAAGUGUUCCUUCAGACAGGAUGGGAGAACCAACCCGAGAGGGAGCGAGAACGGCGGUGCUCAGACUGAGAAGAGGUCAUGCUGGGGAUGACACUGUGGACACGAGCCGAGUAUUCUGGGUAAACAGAUGGAUGAUGAGAGAAAGAAGAAUGAUGAUGACAAAAGUAAAAAGGAAAAAGAAAACAAGCAACACAUGGUCCCGCCUAGGAAAAGAACAAGAAGGAUAUCUGAUGUACUUAUCUCGGGACAGUCAACCUGCUGGACUGGAGAGAACACUUCCUGUUUGAGCCUGAGUGAUGGGGACUGAUGAGGUGACAUUCAGGAAAUGAGAUCAGGACAGAGCAGCGUUUUUCUGAGAGACACUGUGUGUACAGUGCAAGGCCAGGGGCAUCAAAAUUACUCUUCAGUACGUGUUCUGUCCUGCAUUUUCUGCCACAAAAACAGUGAUUACACACAACUGGUACAAUGAAUAAUAGCUAGUAAAAUGAGCAAUAUGAUAUUCAGAAUUUAGCAAUGACCAUUAAACAAAAGCGUAGUAUUGUGUCUACUGGAUAAUGGAUUGGUUGUGGAAAUAAUAAACCAAAUGUAGUGUUUGGGUGCUUCUUGGGAGAAGUCCCAAGACAACAACAGAGUACAAAUCUUUAAAAUAAAGGAGCCACACAGACCCUAGAAAGGGAUUGCAUGAACUGUAUGUAAAAUGAGCUUCCAUGACAUAACUAUGACAAGACAGGCUGUAUUUCUCCAUCUCGUCAUGCUAUGGAAAACUAAAUAAUGGGGUUUCCUUCUUCUGCGAAGUGAAGGUAGUCAGGUAGUCACAUAUUUGACCUCAGUAGUCUGUCAAAUAGAUCUUAACGUAAACCUUAUGAAUGAAAUCAAAACAUGUUUUAACUUGUUUUCCAGCAGAAGGUUGUAUCUAGUAGUAUUAUUAAAGGGUUGCCAUGGGAAAAACCAAAGAUAAAAUCCAAUAUUCCCACAAACUGUA